AUGUUUACUCUUUUCCUGGGAGCUUUGAUCUUACUUUACUUUCUUUUUAAUAAAUUUCCUCGCGACAGUGAUUCAAUCUCUCUUGAUUUUUCUAUCAAAUACAAAUAUCUUUAUUAUAACAAAACUGCCAAUUUUGUUAGAAUUAAAUAUAUCAAGAGAAUGGAGAAGGUAGCCCUGCCGUCUCCAUUGCAGCGGAAAAAGUCCUCCCUCCACGGAAAAAGGAGUCAAUACUUCAGCCAAGGUAGCAAAAGAACAUAA
Molecule: non-coding RNA, 258 nt
Organism: Vicia faba (fava bean)
Lineage: Eukaryota; Viridiplantae; Streptophyta; Magnoliopsida; Fabales; Fabaceae
Source: the annotation of a GenBank genome assembly